GAUGAAGAACGCAGCGAAAUGCGAUAAGUAAUGUGAAUUGCAGAAUUCAGUGAAUCAUCGAAUCUUUGAACGCACAUUGCGCCCGCCAGUAUUCUGGCGGGCAUGCCUGUUCGAGCGUCAUUUCAACCCUCAAGCCCAGCUUGGUGUUGGGGAUCGGCACAGGCGCCCUCGGGCGCCCGCCGUCCCCUAAAUCUAGUGGCGGUCCCGCUGCAGCCUCCUCUGCGUAGUAGCAACACUCGCACUGGAUCGCAGCGCGGCCACGCCGUUAAACCCCCCACUUCUGAAAGUUUGACCUCGGAUCAGGUAGGAAUACCCGCUGAACUUAAGCAUAUCAAUAAGCGGAGGA
Molecule: unclassified non-coding RNA, 346 nt
Filed under: soil metagenome
Description: partial contains 5.8S ribosomal RNA, internal transcribed spacer 2, and large subunit ribosomal RNA
Rfam family: 5.8S ribosomal RNA (bases 1-120)
Source: RNAcentral